GGGCGGCUGGCGGAACUGGUAGACGCGCACGUUUGAGGGGCGUGUGAGGCAACUCAUCCGGGUUCGAGUCCCGGGUCGCCCACCA
Molecule: transfer RNA, 85 nt
Filed under: bacterium
Lineage: Bacteria
Also listed under: 3 other names
Description: tRNA-Leu
Rfam family: tRNA
About the family: Transfer RNA (tRNA) molecules are approximately 80 nucleotides in length. Their secondary structure includes four short double-helical elements and three loops (D, anti-codon, and T loops). Further hydrogen bonds mediate the characteristic L-shaped molecular structure. tRNAs have two regions of fundamental functional importance: the anti-codon, which is responsible for specific mRNA codon recognition, and the 3' end, to which the tRNAs corresponding amino acid is attached (by aminoacyl-tRNA synthetases). tRNAs cope with the degeneracy of the genetic code in two manners: having more than one tRNA (with a specific anti-codon) for a particular amino acid; and 'wobble' base-pairing, i.e. permitting non-standard base-pairing at the 3rd anti-codon position.
Source: RNAcentral